Molecule: ribosomal RNA, 529 nt
Filed under: uncultured bacterium
Lineage: Bacteria
Description: partial 16S ribosomal RNA
Rfam family: Bacterial small subunit ribosomal RNA
Source: RNAcentral
UGGGGAAUAUUGGACAAUGGGCGGAAGCCUGAUCCAGCAACGCCGCGUGAGGGAUGACGGCCUUCGGGUUGUAAACCUCUUUUAGCACAGACGAAGCGCAAGUGACGGUAUGUGCAGAAGAAGGACCGGCCAACUACGUGCCAGCAGCCGCGGUAAUACGUAGGGUCCGAGCGUUGUCCGGAAUUAUUGGGCGUAAAGGGCUCGUAGGCGGUUUGUCGCGUCGGGAGUGAAAACACCGGGCUUAACUCGGUGCUUGCUUUCGAUACGGGCAGACUAGAGGUAUUCAGGGGAGAACGGAAUUCCUGGUGUAGCGGUGAAAUGCGCAGAUAUCAGGAGGAACACCGGUGGCGAAGGCGGUUCUCUGGGAAUAUCCUGACGCUGAGGAGCGAAAGUGUGGGGAGCGAACAGGAUUAGAUACCCUGGUAGUCCACACCGUAAACGUUGGGCGCUAGGUGUGGGGUCCAUUCCACGGAUUCCGUGCCGCAGCUAACGCAUUAAGCGCCCCGCCUGGGGAGUACGGCCCAAGGCU